This 645-nucleotide ribosomal RNA is filed under the name Kluyveromyces marxianus. RNAcentral describes it as "eukaryotic LSU rRNA". The stretch from base 212 to 365 matches the Rfam family "5.8S ribosomal RNA". The record is from RNAcentral. Lineage: Eukaryota; Fungi; Ascomycota; Saccharomycetes; Saccharomycetales; Saccharomycetaceae.
UUACUGGGGCAAUCGUCCGAACAAGGCCUGCGCUUAAUUGCGCGGCCAGUUCUUGAUUCUCUGCUAUCAGUUUUCUAUUUCUCAUCCUAAACACAAUGGAGUUUUUUCUCUAUGAACUACUUCCCUGGAGAGCUCGUCUCUCCAGUGGACAUAAACACAAACAAUAUUUUGUAUUAUGAAAAACUAUUAUACUAUAAAAUUUAAUAUUCAAAACUUUCAACAACGGAUCUCUUGGUUCUCGCAUCGAUGAAGAACGCAGCGAAUUGCGAUAUGUAUUGUGAAUUGCAGAUUUUCGUGAAUCAUCAAAUCUUUGAACGCACAUUGCGCCCUCUGGUAUUCCAGGGGGCAUGCCUGUUUGAGCGUCAUUUCUCUCUCAAACCUUUGGGUUUGGUAGUGAGUGAUACUCGUCUCGGGUUAACUUGAAAGUGGCUAGCCGUUGCCAUCUGCGUGAGCAGGGCUGCGUGUCAAGUCUAUGGACUCGACUCUUGCACAUCUACGUCUUAGGUUUGCGCCAAUUCGUGGUAAGCUUGGGUCAUAGAGACUCAUAGGUGUUAUAAAGACUCGCUGGUGUUUGUCUCCUUGAGGCAUACGGCUUUAACCAAAACUCUCAAAGUUGACCUCAAAUCAGGUAGGAGUACCCGCUGA